AUAACUUUUAAACUAGUCCAGAGAGGCUAGCAAGGUUGAAAUCAGGAAAAAUUGAUUCUAUUUUUACUGACAGGAUUUUCUGUCAGUAAAAGUGAAUUUGUUUUGAUACUUUUUACACUUGCUAGGAUUCUUGGCAAGUGUUUUUUAU
Lactococcus lactis subsp. lactis Il1403 is the source of this 148-nucleotide regulatory RNA element. It matches the Rfam family "PyrR binding site". Rfam says of the family: This family represents the PyrR binding site and terminator structure. Lineage: Bacteria; Bacillati; Bacillota; Bacilli; Lactobacillales; Streptococcaceae. The record is from Rfam.